RNAcentral lists this non-coding RNA (448 nucleotides) under Triticum aestivum (bread wheat). RNAcentral's name for it is "Bacterial small subunit ribosomal RNA". It matches the Rfam family "Bacterial small subunit ribosomal RNA", at positions 980 to 1378 of the family's 1533-position model. The record is from Rfam by way of RNAcentral. Lineage: Eukaryota; Viridiplantae; Streptophyta; Magnoliopsida; Poales; Poaceae.
CUUGCGUGUGCGUAGGAAUUUUUUUGAAAUUACUACGUUCCCCAACAAAAGUACCUGUGAGCAUGUAGGUUUGGUUGAAAUUGGUUACGACGACGUCGAGUUGGCGGCGGAGGAAGACUCAGCAUGAAGGCCAGCCGCCCGGCGGUGUGGAACGUAGUGGUAAUAAUACACACUCCGUUCCGAAACAAAGAAAGAGGUGUGUGGCGCACUCACGAGGGACUGCCAGUGAGAUACUGGAGGAAGGUGGGGAUGACGUGAAGUCUGCAUGGCCCUUAUGGGCGGGGCCACACACGUGCUACAAUGGCAAUGGCAAUGGGAAGCAAGGCUGUAAGGCGGAGCGAAUCCGGAAAGAUUGCCUCAGUUCAGAUUGUUCUCUGCAACUCGGGAACAUGAAGUUGAAAUCGCUAGUAAUCGCAGAUCAGCAUGCCGCGCUGAAUAUGUACCCGGG